This 407-nucleotide ribosomal RNA is filed under the name Mopalia vespertina. RNAcentral's name for it is "partial 16S ribosomal RNA". It matches the Rfam family "Bacterial large subunit ribosomal RNA", at positions 1833 to 2507 of the family's 2925-position model. Lineage: Eukaryota; Metazoa; Mollusca; Polyplacophora; Chitonida; Mopaliidae. The record is from RNAcentral.
GUAACUUAUAGAUAAAGAGUCGUGCCUGCCCAGUGAAUUUUUUUAACGGCCGCAGUACCCUGACUGUGCUAAGGUAGCAUAAUCACUUGUUUUUUAAUUGAAAGCUUGUAUGAAUGGCUUGACGCAGGUAAAGCUGUCUCUUUUAUAUUAAAUAAAAAUUAAUCUUUAAGUGCAGAAGCUUAAAUACAACCAAAAGACGAAAAGACCCUAUCGAGCUUGAAAAUUAUAAUUAAAUUAAAUUUAUAGUAAAAUAAUUUUUAAUUAAUUUUUUUUGUUGGGGCGACAAAAGAACAAAUAAAGCUUCUUUUUAUUUUAUAAAUUUAUAAAUUUAUAGAUCCAUAAUUUAUGACUAAAAGAAAAAGCUACCGUAGGGAUAACAGCGUUAUUUUUUCAAAGAGUUCUUAUCG